UGCGUAGGUGGUCCGUUAAGUCAGUUGUGAAAUCCCCGGGCUCAACCCGGGAACUGCUUCUGAUACUGGCGGACUUGAGGCCAGUAGGGGUCACUAGAACAGACGGUGGAGCGGUGAAAUGCGUAGAUAUCGUCUGGAAUGCCUGUGGUGAAGACGGGUGACUGGGCUGGUUCUGACACUGAGGCACGAAAGCGUGGGGAGCGAACGGGAUUAGAUACCCCGGUAGUCCACGCCCUAAACGAUGCAGACUAGAUUGCAGUGGGUCUUACCCCAUUGCGGUCGGAGAAAAAUUGUUAAGUCUGCCACCUGGGAAGUACGGUCGCAAGGCUAAA
Molecule: ribosomal RNA, 332 nt
Filed under: uncultured bacterium
Lineage: Bacteria
Description: bacterial SSU rRNA
Rfam family: Bacterial small subunit ribosomal RNA
Source: RNAcentral